This is a long non-coding RNA of Lagenorhynchus albirostris (white-beaked dolphin), 815 nucleotides long. RefSeq lists it as uncharacterized. The transcript is spliced from 4 exons. The record is from RefSeq and is a predicted model, not a curated record. NCBI's taxonomy places the organism in Eukaryota, Metazoa, Chordata, Mammalia, Artiodactyla, Delphinidae.
UUUCUCUUUUACUUACCAGAUGACUGGUUUAUCAUAAAAGGAUAUAACUCGGGAACAGCCAGACGGAAGAGAUGUAGAGGGCAAGAUUCUCCAAGAGUUUCCUGAGAAGUAUGUGGGUCACCUAUGUUUUUGAGCACUUGUAUCUUUGAAAAUAACUUCAUUCGAACCUGAUACUUUUUGGCUGGGUCUGAAAUUCCAGGCUGGAAAUAACUUCUCUUCGGCUUCUUGAAGGCAGAUCUCCCCGUCGUCUUGGCUGUUUGCACUGCAGGGGGCGUGGACAGAAAAAAGAUGUUUAAAACAGGACUGUUGUAAAACUACCCAGUAAAAUAGACCUUCCCAGAGACACCCACUGGAAGAGUUCAUGGCUGUGCCGGCACUCAUGAUACGGACUUCCCUGGUGGUGCAGUGGUUAAGAAUCCACCUGCCAGUGCAGAGGACACAGGUUCAAGCCCUGCUCCGGGAAGAUCCCACAUGCCACAGAGCAACUAAGCCCAUGAGCCACAACUACUGAGCCCGCGUGCCACAACAACUGAAGCCCGUGCACCUAGAGGCCACACUCUGCAACGAGAAGCCACCACAACUAGAGAAAGCCCGCACACAGCAAUGAAGACCCAACACAGCCAAAAAUAAAUAAAUAAACUUAUUAAAAAAAAUUUUUUUUUAAAUGUUAUAAGUGAAAUCACACAGUAAGGUCUCUUGUGUCACGUUUCUUUCACACAGCAAAAUGCAUCCAAGUUGUAUGGAUUUUUGCUUAUUACUCUAAAAAACAUGUUUUAUCUUUGUUUCACUGAAUAAAAAGUUAUUUUAAAAAGUCA